CGCACAUUGCGCCCUUUGGUAUUCCGGGGGGCAUGCCUGUUCGAGCGUCAUUUAAACUAUCAAGCGCAGCUUGGCCUUGGACGUCGGUGCUGACACCGGUCCAAAACUCUCGUGUGGCGGUACUGUCUGGCUCUAAGCGUAGCAAGAAUCUUCCCUCGCUUUAAGGGCUCCGGCAGGACUGCCAGGUAACCUUUUACCUAAAGUUUGACCUCGGAUCAGGUAGGGAUACCCGCUGAACUUAA
RNAcentral lists this unclassified non-coding RNA (242 nucleotides) under fungal sp. Its description in RNAcentral is "partial contains 5.8S ribosomal RNA, internal transcribed spacer 2, and large subunit ribosomal RNA". Lineage: Eukaryota; Fungi. The record is from RNAcentral.